CUUUUCCAGUCCAGCCUCUCCUUGCACUGCUGUGUAUUUUCCUGUCCAAGAAGCCUGGAAAAAAGGGGGUGGGUGGGUGAUGAUGGUGGUGGUGGUGUCGGAGGAGGGGGUGCGGAGGCGAGAGCAAAGAAGAAGCAGAUCGGAGGUCAAGUUCGGAAAGAGGGGAACCGGGGAGGAGGUGGAGGAGGAAGGGAAAGGAGGGAUUCGGCUCUCCCCCCCCUCCUACAUCAAGAAGGGGGGGGGGAUGAAAAUGGGAGGGCAAUAGAAUGACAGUCCUUCCCCCCCCCCAUCACCACCCCUAGUUCUCUUCCCGCGUCUCUCUCCUGGCUCUCCCCUCCUGGUACACCUUGAAGACACAUAGCCUUUGUCUGGAUCUCUCCCCCCCACACACACACACACCCCCUCUUCCAAACAAGGCACACUUUGUGGGACCUGUAAAUGGGGUGGCGAGGAAGUUUGUGGGGUUUUUGGGGGGGAGAGAGAGGAUCUCGGCAGAGCCGCCCCCCUCCUCGUGGAUCAGGUCAUCUCCCGGCUCAAGCCCCCGAAGAGCGCAUCUCUGAAGAUGAACCCCGUCCCGAGCAGGGAAUAAUUUACCAGACACUAAAAGAUGUUAGGGACGUGGUGGCGUUGCAGGUUAAACUGCAGAAGCCUCUGUGCUGCAGGGUCAGAAGACCAGCAGUCGUAAGAUCGAAUCCACGCAACGGAGUGAGCUCCCGUCACUUGUCCCAGCUCUUGCCAACCUAGCAGUUCAAAAGCAUGUAAAAAUGUGAGUGGAUAAAUAGGUACCACCUCGGUGGGAAGGUAAGGGUGUUCUGUGUCUAGUCGCACUGGCCACGUGAUCACGGAAAAUGUCUUCGGGCAAAGGCUGGCUCUACGGCUUGGAGAUGGGGAUGAGCCCUGCGCCCUAGAGUCAGAC
This 916-nucleotide long non-coding RNA is filed under the name Pogona vitticeps (central bearded dragon). RNAcentral describes it as "lncRNA (ENSPVIG00000006338.1)". The record is from RNAcentral. Lineage: Eukaryota; Metazoa; Chordata; Lepidosauria; Squamata; Agamidae.